GCGGGGUUGGCGGAAUUGGUAGACGCGCUAGAUUCAGGUUCUAGUUUCCUUAUGGAUGUCCGGGUUCAAGUCCCGGACUCCGCA
Richelia intracellularis HH01 is the source of this 84-nucleotide transfer RNA. It matches the Rfam family "tRNA". From Rfam's summary of the family: Transfer RNA (tRNA) molecules are approximately 80 nucleotides in length. Their secondary structure includes four short double-helical elements and three loops (D, anti-codon, and T loops). Further hydrogen bonds mediate the characteristic L-shaped molecular structure. tRNAs have two regions of fundamental functional importance: the anti-codon, which is responsible for specific mRNA codon recognition, and the 3' end, to which the tRNAs corresponding amino acid is attached (by aminoacyl-tRNA synthetases). tRNAs cope with the degeneracy of the genetic code in two manners: having more than one tRNA (with a specific anti-codon) for a particular amino acid; and 'wobble' base-pairing, i.e. permitting non-standard base-pairing at the 3rd anti-codon position. The record is from Rfam. Lineage: Bacteria; Bacillati; Cyanobacteriota; Cyanophyceae; Nostocales; Nostocaceae.